ACAACAUUAAGAGCAUCGGUCUAUCGAGCAAUAUCACUCGCUCUGUGGAAGAUCUUCCCAUUGUUGU
Molecule: microRNA precursor, 67 nt
Filed under: Bombyx mori (domestic silkworm)
Lineage: Eukaryota; Metazoa; Arthropoda; Insecta; Lepidoptera; Bombycidae
Description: mir-2774 microRNA precursor family
Rfam family: mir-2774 microRNA precursor family
Source: Rfam by way of RNAcentral